RNAcentral lists this signal recognition particle RNA (297 nucleotides) under Microcebus murinus (gray mouse lemur). RNAcentral describes it as "Metazoan signal recognition particle RNA (ENSMICG00000027915.2)". It matches the Rfam family "Metazoan signal recognition particle RNA". From Rfam's summary of the family: The signal recognition particle (SRP) is a universally conserved ribonucleoprotein. The record is from RNAcentral. Lineage: Eukaryota; Metazoa; Chordata; Mammalia; Primates; Cheirogaleidae.
GAUGGUUGUGUGGUGACACGCACCUCUCGUUCCAGCUGCUCCAGAGGCUGAGGUGGGAGGAUGGCUCGAGCCCAGGAGUUCUGGGCUGUAUUGCACUGCGCCGAUCAGGUGCACUAAGUUCAACAUCAACAUGGUGACCUCUGGGAAGCAGGGGAGCACCAGGUUACCUAAAGAGGGGUGAAUCAGCCUGGGUCAGAAACGGAGCAGGUCAAAACUCCCGUGCUGGCCAGUAGUGGCAUCGCACUUGUGAAUAGCCACUGCACUCUAGUCUGGGCGACACAGUGAGACCUCGUCUCU